AGUGAACGCUGGCGGCAGGCCUAAUACAUGCAAGUCGAACGGCAGCACAGCAGAGCUUGCUCUGUGGGUGGCGAGUGGCGGACGGGUGAGGAAUACAUGGGAAUCUGCCCAGUCGUGGGGGAUAACGUAGGGAAACUUACGCUAAUACCGCAUGCGCCCUUCGGGGGAAAGCCGGGGACCUUCGGGCCUGGCGCGAUUGGAUGAGCCCAUGUCGGAUUAGCUAGUUGGCGGGGUAAUGGCCCACCAAGGCGACGAUCCGUAGCUGGUCUGAGAGGAUGAUCAGCCACACUGGAACUGAGACACGGUCCAGACUCCUACGGGAGGCAGCAGUAGGGAAUAUUGGACAAUGGGCGCAAGCCUGAUCCAGCCAUGCCGCGUGAGUGAAGAAGGCCCUCGGGUUGUAAAGCUCUUUGUCCGGAAAGAAAGCGCCGGGUUAAUACCCUAGUGUCCUGACGGUACCGGAAGAAUAAGCACCGGCUAACUACGUGCCAGCA
Molecule: ribosomal RNA, 494 nt
Filed under: uncultured bacterium
Lineage: Bacteria
Description: bacterial SSU rRNA
Rfam family: Bacterial small subunit ribosomal RNA
Source: RNAcentral